RNAcentral lists this ribosomal RNA (429 nucleotides) under Acidobacteriota bacterium. Its description in RNAcentral is "Acidobacteria bacterium partial 16S ribosomal RNA". It matches the Rfam family "Bacterial small subunit ribosomal RNA", at positions 355 to 776 of the family's 1533-position model. The record is from RNAcentral. Lineage: Bacteria; Pseudomonadati; Acidobacteriota.
UGGGGAAUUUUGGACAAUGGGGGAAACCCUGAUCCAGCCAUCCCGCGUGUGCGAUGAAGGCCUUCGGGUUGUAAAGCACUUUUGGCAGGAAAGAAACGUCAUGGGUUAAUACCCCGUGAAACUGACGGUACCUGCAGAAUAAGCACCGGCUAACUACGUGCCAGCAGCCGCGGUAAUACGUAGGGUGCAAGCGUUAAUCGGAAUUACUGGGCGUAAAGCGUGCGCAGGCGGUUCGGAAAGAAAGAUGUGAAAUCCCAGAGCUCAACUUUGGAACUGCAUUUUUUACUACCGGGCUAGAGUGUGUCAGAGGGAGGUGGAAUUCCGCGUGUAGCAGUGAAAUGCGUAGAUAUGCGGAGGAACACCGAUGGCGAAGGCAGCCUCCUGGGAUAACACUGACGCUCAUGCACGAAAGCGUGGGGAGCAAACAGG